Molecule: ribosomal RNA, 253 nt
Filed under: uncultured bacterium
Lineage: Bacteria
Description: partial 16S ribosomal RNA
Rfam family: Bacterial small subunit ribosomal RNA
Source: RNAcentral
UACGGAGGAUGCAAGCGUUAUCCGGAUUCAUUGGGUUUAAAGGGUGCGCAGGCGGAUUGGUAAGUCAGUGGUGAAAUUCAACAGCUUAACUGUUGACCUGCCAUUGAUACUGUCAGUCUAGAGUAUAGUUGGAGUGGGCGGAAUGUGUCAUGUAGCGGUGAAAUGCUUAGAUAUGACACAGAACGCCGAUCGCGAAGGCAACUUACUAAGCCAUUACUGACGCUGAGGCACGAAAGCGUGGGGAUCAAACAGG